CCCUUAGAUGUUCUGGGCCGCACGCGCGCUACACUGUUCGACGCAGCGAGUCUUAACCUUGACCGAAAGGUUUGGGUAAUCUUCAGCAAAGUCGAACGUGAUGGGGAUCGAUCAUUGCAAUUAUUGAUCGUGAACGAGGAAUUCCUAGUAAGUGCAAGUCAUCAGCUUGCGCUGAUUACGUCCCUGCCCUUUGUACACACCGCCCGUCGCUACUACCGAUUGAAUGGUUUAAUGAGAUCUCUGGAUUGACGCUGGCUAGGGGGCGACCCUUGGCCAGACUGUUGAGAAACUGCUCAAACUUGAUCAUUUAGAGGAAGUAAAAGUCGUAACA
This 331-nucleotide ribosomal RNA is filed under the name uncultured eukaryote. RNAcentral describes it as "partial 18S ribosomal RNA". It matches the Rfam family "Eukaryotic small subunit ribosomal RNA", at positions 1470 to 1796 of the family's 1831-position model. The record is from RNAcentral.